Molecule: ribosomal RNA, 460 nt
Filed under: uncultured bacterium
Lineage: Bacteria
Description: partial 16S ribosomal RNA
Rfam family: Bacterial small subunit ribosomal RNA
Source: RNAcentral
CCUACGGGUGGCAGCAGUGAGGAAUAUUGGUCAAUGGGCGCGAGCCUGAACCAGCCAAGUAGCGUGAAGGAUGACUGCCCUACGGGUUGUAAACUUCUUUUAUAAAGGAAUAAAGUGAGGCACGUGUGCCUUUUUGCAUGUACCUUAUGAAUAAGCAUCGGCUAACUCCGUGCCAGCAGCCGCGGUAAUACGGAGGAUCCGAGCGUUAUCCGGAUUUAUUGGGGUUAAAGGGGGCGUAGAUGGGUUGUUAAGUCAGUUGUGAAAGUUUGCGGCUCAACCGUAAAAUUGCAAUUGAUACUGGCAGACUUGAGUACAGUUGAGGUAGGCGGAAUUCGUGGUGUAGCGGUGAAAUGCUUAGAUAUCACGAAGAACUCCGAUUGCGAAGGCAGCUUACUAAACUGCCACUGACAUUGAUGCUCGAAAGUGUGGGUAGCAAACAGGAUUAGAUACCCGAGUAGUC